RNAcentral lists this long non-coding RNA (3109 nucleotides) under Homo sapiens (human). Its description in RNAcentral is "non-protein coding lnc-GLRX3-2:3". The record is from RNAcentral. Lineage: Eukaryota; Metazoa; Chordata; Mammalia; Primates; Hominidae.
CCGCGGUGGGAAGACGCAGAGCUUUCAGGCCAGCCCCGCGCGGCUCACGGCUUUUGUGGCUGGUGGCUGGUGGCUGCUGGUUGGGAGGCCCCGGAAGGACUUCUACUCCUCCGUAGGCUGGAGGGCACUAGGAGGUCGCAGGUGCUGAGCUGCCGGGGCCUUUGGGCUGUGCUGAAGGGGAAAAGCGCAGCCACUGUCGGGAGUGUGUGCUGUGGAGGCAGUUGCCGCGGUGAUGUUCGCUCCGCCUGGCCCCUGCCGGGGAUUCAGCCAACCAACCCUCAACAGCCGGCGGCGGCUCAGUCUCUGGCCCGGCGCGGUGCUGAGCACCACUGAGCCCUCAUCUUAGGGCACCGAGGCCCGGACUCCUGCAGCCGCAUGUCCAGGCCCCUCCUGCCUUAGCACGGAGCUCCCUUGACUGCUCCAAACAGCCCAGACUGGCGCCUUUUUUGGAUAAAUUAAAACGGGGCCAAUCCGUUGCCAGCGAUUGGCUAACGAUGGGUACACGACCUAGUACGGGCCAGGGAGAAGUAAGCGAGGUCUGUUGAGGCAGAGUUUCGGGAAAGAUCUUCUAGUUAAAAGGGGAGUUGGGUGGGUGGGGGCUGUUUUCUUCCUGUUGUCCUUGCCCAGUGUAAGUUUCCUGGAGCUGCAGCAGCCUUUUUGUCACCAUGAGGGCAGCUGGUGGGAACCCUAGGAAAGCAGGAAAUCACCUAGAGCCGGAACAGCCUGAGCCUCUGAACCAACCCACAGCUGACUACCCGUCACUUUGUCGUGUCUCUGUGAUUUGAGUCCAUCAUUCUGCUGCAGUUGAAGGUAUCCUUUGACAAAGCCCUGUUCUUAACCAUUAUGGUGAAACGCAUGAAUCCCUCUUCGGGCUAUUUGCUGCAUGAUCCUCAGCAAAUUAAAUAGUUAAUCUCCCUCAGUUUCCUCAUUUAUAAAGGAUAGGAUGAUAAAGCAUAGAGAUCGUGAGGAUUACAUGAGGCAUUUACCUAGAAGAUACUUAGAACAAUGCUGGACACAAACUAAGUACUUAACAAAUGUAACAUUUCUCCUAUUAGUUAGUACUCCUAAGACUAAUUAUGCCACCACUGAUUCACAGUCCCUUAUCAAAAACCUUUCAGGCCAGAUGUGUUUGUGAAAUUCAGAAUUUUUUGAAUGUUUAAAAAAGGUGAGAUAUAUUGUAUGCCCCCGUAGUCAAACAAUGUUUCUAUAGCAGAAAUGUGUGAGUAUUCACAAAUAUUCACCCUAAGUGGGAUAUAUAAAGGUUGUAAAUAGGGCCAGGCACAGUGGCUCAUGCUUGUAAUCCCAGUACUUUGGAAGGCCAAAGCGGGAGGAUUGCUUGAACCCAGGAGUUUGAGACCAGCCUCGGCAACACAGUGAGACCCCCGUCUCUACAAAAUAAAAAUAACAAAAUUAGCCGGGCACUAUGGCGCCCACCUGUAGUACCAGCUACUCAGAAGGCUGAGGUGGGAAGAUUGCUUGGGCCUGGAAGGUUGAGGCUGCAGUGAGUUGGCUGUGAUCACACCACAGCACUCCAGCCUGGCCAAUAGAGUGAGACCCUGUCUCAAAUAAAAUAAAUACAAUAAAUAAAUAAAGGUUGUAAAUAGUCUCAUAUCAGUUCAAAUGAGUUUACUCCAAGCGUGGGGAAAAACUAAUUUGGAGGACUUUCUGCAUUUCAGAAUUGAAAAUAAGGUAUGUUGUAGGCCUCUCAAAAUGCUUGUCUUGCAGUUUAGAUUAGAUGACUUGCUUUGUUACCCACUUUUGAUUCGCUGGCCUUUAUACUGAUGGCUGCUUUUCAGAUGUGUAUAAGAACAAAAUUUCAACAAAUUUAGUUUCAAAGAUCUGAUUGGUUUUUAAUAGCAUUGCAUGCACCAGGCAGUCUACAAGAUAGAAAGGUGCUCCAAUGAGGACCGAGUGGGUGAGUUUGACAGGCAGGAAAAAGUGGAGGAAAGCAGGAAGAAUGAACAAAUAGCAGAUCAGUCAUUUCAAGGUUACUUUCCUUAUAGAGGUGUAGACGAAAUCUUGGUGUAAUGUAAUUUGGCUUUCAUCCCUCUCCUGAUUUCUCAGAAGAUCUUACAAGUAAGCAACCCAGGUUUCAGUUUGGUAGCAUGAAUCCUUAGCAUUUAGUGACUCCAGUUUUGGUCUGCUGUCUUUCUUAAAUGGAUGCAUGAGGCAACCAUUGGGUACUGGGGGGGGGACUGCUUAGCUUAGGAAUGAGAUACAGCAAUAGGUAUAUUUAGAAGGAUGCAGUUUAGCUUAGCACAGUAUUUACCAAGCAUCAGUCACUUGGGUACUAACUGCAAGAUGUAUGCUAAACCUCUCCUAUUAUUUACAUAGUAUAUUUAUUUAAAUUCUCAAUAUCUUAAGUUUGAAAAACUUUAAAAAUAAUAUGUGACAUCUAUAAAGUGAUGGUUUGAAUGCUCACUAUUUUAAUAUGUUAAAUAGAUUAAUUAUUAGAAGAAAAUAUGGGAGGUCAGGCACAGUGACUUAUGCCUGUAAUCCCAGCACUUUGGAAGGCCAAGACAGGCGGAUUGUCUGAGGCCAGGAGUUCAAGACCAGCUGGCCAACAUGGCAAAACCCUGUCUCUGCUAAAAAUACAAAAAUUAGCCAGGCAUGAUGGCGCAUGCCUGUAAUCCCAGCUUUUUGGGAGGCCAAGGCAGGAGAAUUGCUUAAACCCUAGAGGCGCAGGUUGCAGUGAGUCAAGAUCACACCGCUGCACUCCAGGCCUAGGCGACAAAACAAAACUCUAUCUCAAAAAAAAGAAAGAAAGAAAAAUUGGCCAGGCACAGUGGCUCCAGCCUGUAAUCCCAGCACUUUGGGAGGCCAAGGCAGGUGGAUCACAAGGUCAGGAGAUGGAGACCAGCCUUGCCACCAUGGUGAAACCCUGUCUCUACUAAAAUACAAAAAAUUAACCAGGCAUGGUGGUGGCGGCACGUGCCUGUAGUCCCAGCUACUCGGGAGGCUGAGGCAGGAGAAUCUCUUGAACCUGGGAACCUGGGAGGCAGAGGUUGCAGUAAGCCGAGACCACGCCACUGCACUCCAGCCUGGGUGACAGAGUGAGACUCCGUCUCAAAAAAAAAAAAAAAAAAAAAGUAAAGAAAAUAUGGGAAAA